Molecule: long non-coding RNA, 1970 nt
Filed under: Mytilus galloprovincialis (Mediterranean mussel)
Lineage: Eukaryota; Metazoa; Mollusca; Bivalvia; Mytilida; Mytilidae
Source: RNAcentral
CCCACUUCAUUUUCUAUGUUUAGUGGACCGUGAAAUUGGGGUCAAAAGUCUAAUUUGGCUUUAAAAUUCAAAAGAUCAUAUCAUAAGCAACAAGUUUACUAAGUUUCAAGUUGAUUGGACUUCAGCUUCAUCAAAAACUAACUUGACCAAAAACUUUAACCUGAAACUCCCACUUUCAUUUUCUAUGUUCAGUGGACGGUGAAAUUCGGGUCAAAAGUCUAAUUUGGCUUAAAUUAGAAAGAUCAUAUAAUAAGCAACAAGUGUACUAAGUUUCAAGUUGAUUGGACUUCAGCUUCAUCAAAAACUACCUUGACCAAAAACUUUAACCUGGACGGACGGACGGACGAACGGAAGCACAGACGGACGAACGGAGCCACAGACCAGAAAACAUAAUGCCCCUCUACUAUCGUAGGUGGGGCAUAAAAAUAUCUUCAUUGAGGCAGAAUUGCUCAACUAGCAAAAUAAUCAUGCCAUGUUGAUAUCUAUAUAUUUUAAGCUUUUUAGUAUUUAUUACUGAAGACAAAUGAUUUGCUUACAAAUCAUUGGAGAAUCAGACCUUAAAUUUCCAUUACCAAUCAAUUGUCGAUUUUUGUCUAUUGAAUUGUUUCAUGUUUUUCAUGUUGUGGUCUUUUGUAGCCAACUAUAUGGUAGACACUUUUUCUCACUGUUGAAUGCUGUACAAAUUCAAUUGCUUACAUAAGCUUCAUUUGAACUUCUGUGGCUUCUUGUCUCAUUGGAAAUCGUACCACAUCUCCUUAUAUUCAUUUUGGUCAUCACUGUAUUUACAACCAAUGAAAUGACUUAUUAUAUCAACUUUGUUGUUUAUUUUUUCUUAGCUGUACAUGUAUGGGUUUCAGGGUAAUAAACACACAAAACAAGAAUGUGUCCAUUGUACACAGAUGCCUUAUCCGCACUAUCAUUUUCUAUGUUCAGUGGACCGUGAAAAGGGGGAAAAUCUCUAAUUUGCCAUUAAAAUUAGAAAGAUCAAUCUUAAGGAACAUGUGCACAAAGUUUCAAGUUGAUUGGACUUCAACUUCAUCAAAAACUACCUCGAUCAAAAACUUUAACAUAAAACAGGACAGACAGGCGGACGAACAGAUGGACGGACAAUGAGCGGACGAACAGAUGGACGGACAAUGAGCGAACGAACAGACCAGAAAACAUAAUGCCAUGGCCCAUAAAAUAAUUGUCAUUAAAGGGCAACAACUCCAUUACUUAAUAAGUAACUGAGUUGCAAUAAGUCUUUUCUAUUAACUACGGUUUUUCAAAAAAUUAAACAUGUGGAUAUUUACAAUGUAUACCUUUUAGUCAAGAUACCUGAUAACUAGUGUGUAACUACAUUUACUUGUACAAUAAUAAGAUCUAGAGAAAGUUUAUGAAAAUUACAGAUUUAUACAUUUCAAAACACGUUCAGUCACAGCUGUUAAUAUACAUGAAUAAAGUUAGAAAAAUGGAACCAGUUGGUUGGAAAAAUGGAACCAACUGGUUGGAAAAUGGAACCAGUUGGUUAGAAAAAUGGAACCAGUUGUUUGGAAAAAUGGAACUAGAUGGUUGGAAAAAUGGAACUAGUUGGUUGAAAAAAAUGGAACCAGUUGGUUGGAAAAAUUGGAACCAGUUUGUUUGAAAAAUGGAACCAGUUGGUUGGAAAAAUGGAACCAGUUGGUUAGAAAAAUGGAACCAGUUGGUUAGAAAAAUGGAACAAGUUGGGUUUGAAAAAUGGACAAAUAGGUUAGAAAAAUGGAACCAUGGUUAUAACCAGGUGCUUUGCAGGGUGCAGCUUUAUACGACCACAGAGGUCCAACCCUGAACAGUUGAGGCAAGUAUGGACACAACAUUCAAGCUUGAUACAGCUCUGAAUUUGAAUUGUAAUCAAAUUUUUGACAUAAUAUAGGUUUCUGACACAAAACAAAUGUCAUGAUCUUACAAAUCUAUUGCCAAAUACUGUCAUGACUGUGCAACUAAAGAUUUUU